CCCUUAGAUGUCCGGGGCCGCACGCGCGCUACACUGAAGGAAUCAGCGUGGUCUUCUCCCUGACCCGAAAGGGUUGGGAAACCCGUUGAAUCUCCUUCGUGAUAGGGAUUGGGGCUUGAAAUUGUUCCCCAUGAACGAGGAAUUCCCAGUAAGCGCGAGUCAUAAGCUCGCGUUGAUUACGUCCCUGCCCUUUGUACACACCGCCCGUCGCUACUACCGAUUGAACGGUUUAGUGAGGGCCUCGGAUUGGUCUCGGCCCGCUCUUUACCGGGCGGCGCCGUUGGUCGAGAAGACGCUCGAACUUGAUCGUUUAGAGGAAGUAAAAGUCGUAACA
Molecule: ribosomal RNA, 334 nt
Filed under: uncultured eukaryote
Lineage: Eukaryota
Description: partial 18S ribosomal RNA
Rfam family: Eukaryotic small subunit ribosomal RNA
Source: RNAcentral